CAGGGUUCCUCAGAGGAAGGGGAUGAUGUCAGACACAGGCUGGGCUGCCUGCCUGCAUAUCUCCCUUGUCAGCCCAGCCUGGCCUGCAUGUCACACACAUCGAUCCAGAAGGCAGGCAUCUUUGCGUCCAUUUCCAGAAGAAACACUUGAGGGUCAGAGAAGUUAAAGGACUUGCGGAAGACCACACAGCCGAACUGGAAUCAAAAUUUCCUGGCUGUCAAAGCAGGUAGAAGAUCUGCAGAACACAGUUUGAAAACCACUGAAACAGAAGGGCAAACCCAGGCUUCUUGCCACCUGCUUCCACAAUUCUGGCCCUCACACCCUUCACGUUCUGGGACUUGGGGGUUCUUGAACCAGAUUUCCUCAACACAGCCAGCCAAGGCAGACCUCAUUUCAAGCCACCUAUUCUGCAUUGUCUUUGACUUGUCCAUAAGGAUUUCAUGAGGUAUGUGAACAUAGCUUAUAAGUGAGCUCUAUUUAUUCCUUCAACAAACUGGGGCUCCUGUCUCUCUGACUAUGCAGGCAAAUGGAGGACCACAGUCAGGUGACAUCCUGUCCCUGUCCUGGAG
This is a long non-coding RNA of Aethalodelphis obliquidens (Pacific white-sided dolphin), 569 nucleotides long. RefSeq lists it as uncharacterized. Lineage: Eukaryota; Metazoa; Chordata; Mammalia; Artiodactyla; Delphinidae. The record is from RefSeq and is a predicted model, not a curated record. The transcript has 3 exons.